GAUGAACGCUAGCUACAGGCCUAACUCAUGCAAGUCGAGGGGAAACGACAUCGAAAGCUUGCUUUUGAUGGGCGUCGACCGGCGCACGGGUGAGUAACGCGUAUCCAACCUGCCCACCACUUGGGGAUAACCUUGCGAAAGUAAGACUAAUACCCAAUGAUAUCUCUAGAAGACAUCUGAAAGAGAUUAAAGAUUUAUCGGUGAUGGAUGGGGAUGCGUCUGAUUAGCUUGUUGGCGGGGUAACGGCCCACCAAGGCUACGAUCAGUAGGGGUUCUGAGAGGAAGGUCCCCCACAUUGGAACUGAGACACGGUCCAAACUCCUACGGGAGGCAGCAGUGAGGAAUAUUGGUCAAUGGACGAGAGUCUGAACCAGCCAAGUAGCGUGCAGGAUGACGGCCCUAUGGGUUGUAAACUGCUUUUAUAAGAGAAUAAAGUGAGUCUCGUGAGACUUUUUGCAUGUACCUUAUGAAUAAGGACCGGCUAAUCCGUGCCAGCCGCCGCAGUAA
Molecule: ribosomal RNA, 507 nt
Filed under: uncultured bacterium
Lineage: Bacteria
Description: partial 16S ribosomal RNA
Rfam family: Bacterial small subunit ribosomal RNA
Source: RNAcentral